RNAcentral lists this ribosomal RNA (439 nucleotides) under uncultured bacterium. RNAcentral describes it as "partial 16S ribosomal RNA". It matches the Rfam family "Bacterial small subunit ribosomal RNA", at positions 338 to 795 of the family's 1533-position model. The record is from RNAcentral.
CCUACGGGUGGCAGCAGUGGGGAAUAUUGCACAAUGGGGGAAACCCUGAUGCAGCGACGCCGCGUGAGUGAAGAAGUAUCUCGGUAUGUAAAGCUCUAUCAGCAGGGAAGAAAAUGACGGUACUUGAUUAAAAAGCCCCAGCUAACUACGAGCCAGCAGCCGCGGUAACACGGAGACUGCGAGCGUUAUCCGGAUUUGGUGGGUUUAAAGGGUGCGCAGGCGGAAGAUCAAGUGUGCGGUAAAAGUGAGAGGCUCAACCUCGUCGGGCCGUUGAAACUGGUUUACUUGAGUGAGUGAGAAGGAAGCGGAAUGCGUGGUGUAGCAGUGAAAUGCGUAGAUAUCACGCAGAACUCCCAUUGCGAAGGCGGCAUACCGGCGCUCAACUGACGCUCAUGCACGAAAGUGUGGGUAUCGAACAGGAUUAGAUACCCUAGUAGUC